UUCCAGUAAAAGGCGAAGGACGGGAUCUUUAACUCCGGCGGUGUGAGGAUCACGUGAUAUGCUAAUUUCCUGAUCUGAGGAGGAGAAGACUAGAUCUUUGUUGUCGGAGAAAGUGGGCGAUGGCGGUAAUUCAUCUUCGAUCUGCUCCUCGUAGUAAAAUUCAAGAAGCUCUUCAUUCGUCAUCUCUGCAGAUUGUUGGGUAUCGUCGCCAUCGUUCUGAUUUGGGGGGCCGGAAUCGAAACCUGAUGAGCUGUCCGAUAUUAGCAUCGACUCUGUGUGGUACUUUCCAGCAAGGAGUUCGUGUAGAUCAUCGAAGAACUCCAUGGUUGCCGCACCUGGAGCUAACCCUUUGUUACGAAUGCUUUGUAUGUGCAUCCGAUAAGUGCGCUCCAUGUUGCGCCACUUUUGACUGACUUUCUCCCAGGCGCUCUCUUUGUUACGGAAAUGGAAACCUUCAGCCAUGAGCUGUGAAGCUAUUGCAACCCACACUUCUUUUUUUCUCAUCUUUUUGUUAGUGAAUAACUCACCAUUUUCUUGAUAGUUUUUUAGGAUAUCUAUCAGUUUGGCAGUGGCUAAUUUGUCUUGAGUCUUGUCUGAAGAUCGGUUUCCACUCCAAACAUCUGCAGCAAAUAAGAUAAACUAAAUAAGGUAACUAACUUUGAAAGCACUUGAUUGCAUGAUCAUCUGAGACAAUAAGGCUUUUAGUAAAAACUUGAUUCUGCAAAAAUACCAUAAAUGACCACUGAAGUUCUUGUGUUCUGUUUAACUAUACCAUAAUGUGAACAUCAUGACCGAAUGCAAAUCUCACAAGUCAACACUGACCUUCUUCAGAAUACCGAGAUGGAUUGCUUCUUUUCCUUGGUCGACUGGGUGUUCCCAACCGGUUGACUGUUUGAACAUCCAGCAUUAUUACCUUCCGAUCUUAAAGACCCCUUUGUAGACCAGUUGAUCUCCCUGACGACCAACAAAUUCAAGUUUCUGGAGCCCUUCUCGACUCAGAUUGGGUUGAUCCGCCAUCGCUUUAGGAUUGGACCAAAACUUGUUAAACCAGAUUUCGACGUAAGACCGAAUUUGACUUUUGGUUAUAUCGUUACGUGUCUGGUCGCCAAUGUUCUGUCUGCUAGACCAGACCCAACUUCACAGCAGCGCCAGCCAUCUGGUAGGGAUCGAUCAAUAAUUGAACAAAACAAGAAUUUGGUAGGUGAAGAGCCACCCCUCAUUGCCGCCGCUUUUUGCUGCUCUAGUAGUCGUUCAAGGGGAGAAGGACCAGGACCACUCCACAAAGAAGCAGGACCUAACUGAUGCUGCAUUGUCCGCUGUUGCUGCUCGUUCGGGUUGAUUACGUUAUUGAUUGGGAAACUAGGUAACUGAACGGGAUGCCACGGAGCUGUCGAGUUGAACAAACUAUAUGGAGGUACAAUAGAAGACGGUGGUGGAGGGAGGUUGCCAGCCAUUGCCCAGGCUGCAGGUGGCGGAGGGAAACCCAAACCGGGCGGUGGGACCGUCGGAGGCGGAAUAGACAAAUCUGACGUUCCAAACGGGGAGGUAAAGAUGGUCUCGAGUAAAGGGUGCUGCUGCUAGAUUGCUUAACGGGGGGAAGAGGAGGAGCCAGUGUAUGUUGAAAUGUCACCUGCUUAUUAGUGGAGUCUUCCUUCGUGGGGGGCGGAAUCAAAUCAUCCUCGACUUUUUGUCUGAGUAUAGCUGUAAGCGCCACGUUACGCUGAGGAGGUGACUCAUCCGUUCUCAGACUUGUGAACAGCCAUUCAGGAGAUCCAUCAUUUUGCUGUGAUAAUGCCAAACAGCCAGGUUGUUGUUCGGCUAACCACUUCCCUCGCUGAACGAUUCUUGCGGCACGAACUCGAUUCUCAUCUCCUUGCGUCACUUGCGUUGAAGGCCAUUUGGCACUGCGGCGAAGUGGUGCAAACUCCAAUAAGUCAAGAUCUUCCGGAAGAGGCUUUCCGUCAUCUUCUACAGUGAACGAACCGUUAGAAGCAAAACAUAUUUGAAGCUGAUUAAGUAACUUGGCUGUCGAUGACCAGAGAUGACCGCGCUUAAUUUUGGUGAGUAAUUCCGGCUGGGCAAAGAACCAAUCGAGAACAAGUUUGAUAACGCACAAGUAUCUGGAGUUGGGUAGUUGUUCAUCAGGCAGGGAACAGCACGCUGUGAGGCAGGCAUUGAAAACAGAGAAAGCAACAUCGAUAGCCAACUGAAGUGACCUCUUUUGCGCGUCGGUGGCUGAGGCACCAGUGCAUCGACCAACGGAAUAGAUGGUGAUGGUCAACAUGCGAAUCAACUGUGUUGGAGUUAGAGCUUCCGUUGCUACAAGUGAUGGCCAAGUCAGUGUUAGAAGAUUAACAGUCUGUUCAGCUUGAUCGAGGUCGCAACAAAGUCCGAUUUGUCCUUGUAGCUUGAGGAAAGCGACGAGAAACUCUUCUGCGCUCAAACGACCUCCACGUGUCUUUUGGUAUGUUGACAUUUGAAGCGACAGCUUCUUUAGAAGCUUAUCAAGAUUGAUUCUGGCUGGUGGAAAUGGAUGCUUGAGAGCUAGGCUUCGGACGUAAUAGAAAAGGGUGGACAACAUGUCUCCACGAGCCGAUACAAGAAGCGCAAGUUGGUUGUACGGAUGGCCACUGGAGGCUUCAACAUUGAUGGCUUGUUUGUAGUAACCUUCGGCUUCCCCCAAUAAAUUUCUGUAGCGAGCCAGGUCUCCCAAAUGGAUCAGGCAAUGUUGACAAAUGUAAAGAAUUGAUUCAUUCUUCGGCUGGAGGGUGUAUGAUGGACCAUGGAAGAUGCCUAGCUGGGCGUUUCUCUUACAUAAGGACGGGUUUGUGUCGCAUUGGGCACAUAUUUCUUGAAGGAGUAACAUGUAAAACCCAGCAGCUCCUUCCAAGAACAACUUCAGGAUUGGAUUGCCAGUUUUCUUGCCUUGCUUUGGCUGCAGUUCGGAGAUGGGAACUUUGAAACACACAUUCCACAAAUCUUGUUCAACUUUUUUGUCAAGUGCAUAGUCCAGGAUAUCGGGCAUAGUUGAUCUGAUGUCCCCUGCCUCUCUGCAACAACAAAGGAGAUAUGUGUGAGCACAAUAAUGUCCCUACUGCUAGCAUAUUGUGAAAAACUACAAGUUUUGCUUUAAAAAUAGUUUAGAAAGCAUAAUUUUAAAGGCAACAGCCUCUUCGAAGAAGACAAUAGUACUGUUUCCAUAGACCAAAAUGAAGAAUUAGU
This is a long non-coding RNA of Daphnia carinata, 3222 nucleotides long. RefSeq lists it as uncharacterized. The transcript is spliced from 8 exons. The record is from RefSeq and is a predicted model, not a curated record. Lineage: Eukaryota; Metazoa; Arthropoda; Branchiopoda; Diplostraca; Daphniidae.